UACGGAGGGGGCUAGCGUUGUUCGGAAUUACUGGGCGUAAAGCGCACGUAGGCGGACUGUUAAGUCGGGGGUGAAAUCCUGGGGCUCAACCUCAGAAUUGCCUCCGAUACUGGGAGUCUCGAGUGCGGGAGAGGUGAGUGGAAUUCCCAGUGUAGCGGUGAAAUGCGUAGAUAUUGGGAGGAACACCAGUGGCGAAGGCGGCUCACUGGACCGGAACUGACGCUGAGGCGCGAAAGCGUGGGGAGCAAACGGG
RNAcentral lists this ribosomal RNA (253 nucleotides) under uncultured bacterium. Its description in RNAcentral is "partial 16S ribosomal RNA". It matches the Rfam family "Bacterial small subunit ribosomal RNA", at positions 524 to 776 of the family's 1533-position model. The record is from RNAcentral.